This is a long non-coding RNA of Gallus gallus (chicken), 3215 nucleotides long. Lineage: Eukaryota; Metazoa; Chordata; Aves; Galliformes; Phasianidae. The record is from Ensembl.
UUUUUUUUUUUUUUUUUUUUUUUUUUUUAAAUGCAGCCCAGCACACAGUUGGCCUUCCAGGCUGCAGGUGCACACUGCUGGUUCAUGUCCAGCUUCUCAUCCACCAGGACCCCCAGGUCCUUCUCCGCAGGGCUGCUCUCACGGAGAUCUUCCCCCCUGUUUAUAGAAGUACCUGGGAUUGCCCCGACCCAAGUGCAGCACCCUGCACUUGGCCUUAUUGAACCUCAUUAGGUUUUCGUGGGACCACUUCUCCAGCCUGUCCAGGUCCCUCGGGAUGGCUUCCCUUCCUUCCAAUGUAUCGACUGCACCGCUCAGCUUGGUGGACAGAAACCACUCCCCACACCCUUACCUAGAGGCUCAUGGUCCUGGCAGACAUGGGAAGCCUGACCACCCGUGAAGACUGAGGCAAAGCACUCAUUAAGUACCUCAGCUUUUUCUAUGUCUGAGGAAGCCAGCUCCCCAUUACCUUUCAUCGGGGGGAGAACACUCUCCUUGGCCUGUCUUCUCCUGCCUAUGUACCUGUAGAACCCCUUCUUGUUGUCUGUCGCAUCCCGCACCAAGUUCAGCUCCAUCUGCGCCUUGGCUUUCCUAAUCCUAUCUCUACACACACGGACAACAGCCCUGUAUUCCUCCCAGAAUACACAACCCUGCUUCCACUUUCUGUACAUUUCCCUCUUUUCUCUCAAUUUAAGCUGCAGGUCCUUGCACAGCCACGACAGUCGCCUGCCUCCCCUGCUCGACGACUUCUGCUGGGGUAUGGAGAGCCCUUGAGCUCUCGGAAGGGUGUCCUUAAAGAGCUGCCAGCUCUGGUCUGUGCCCAUGCCCUUAAGGACAGUUUCCCAGGGGAUCCCACUCAGCAGUUCCUUGAGCAGACGGAAGUUCGCUUUCCUAAAGCACAGCGUUGUGACUGUGCUUUUUGCCAGGCCCGCAUUCUUCAAGCUCACAAACUCCACCAAGGCAUGGUCACUGCAGCCCAGGUUGCCUGCAAUCUAAACCUCUCCAUCUAUUACCUGGACCAGAAAGUUGUCCUCAACAGACUCCAGGAAUCUCUUGGAUUGUCUGCCACCCACCGUGGCACUAUCCCAGCAGAUAUCCGGGUGGUUGAAAUCCUCCAUCAGGAGGAGAGCCCGCAAGCAUGACACCUCCUGCCGCUGAAGCAAGAAGGCCUCGUCCACAGCCUCUUCCUGAUCAGGUGGCCUGUAACAGACCGCAGCCGCUAGAUGCCCUUUGCUGGACUGAUCCGCAGUUUUUACCCACAAGCUCUCAACCUGAUCAUGGCUGUUCCUCAGACGCAGCUCUUCACAAUCUGUCCACUUCCUAACAUAAGAGGGCAACUCCACCACUCUCCUAACCUGUCUAUCCCUUCUGAAAAGCCUGUAGUCCUCAAUCAGGGUAUUCCAAUCAUGCGAUUCAUCCCACCCUGUUUCCAUGAUAGCAAUUAGGUCAUACUUUCCCAAUUGCACCACAGUUUCUAGCUCCUCCUGUUUAUUUCCCAUGCUGCACGCAUUGAUAUAGAGGGACUUCAGCUUAGCCACUGGCCUCAUUGCCUUCUCAGAGGAGCCCUCCCUAGUACCUCCAGGAUGAGUCUGGGGUUUUCCCUUACCACCUCCCAAGGUGACAGCAUUCCCAGGUGCUUCUCAUGGCUUCAAGCUGCACCAGGGAAGAUUCAGGCUGGACGCUAGGAAAUACUCCUUCUCUGAAAGGGUGGUCAGGUACUGGAAUGGGCUGCCCAGAGAGGUGGUGGAGUCACUGAGCCUGGUAGUGUUCAAAGAGCGUUUCGAUGUUGUGCUGAGGGACAUAGUUUAGCGAGAACCAUUGGUGAAGGGCGAAUGGUUGGACUGGAUGCUCCUGUGGGUCUUUUCCAACCUUAGCAAUUCUAUGAUUUUAUGAUUCUCUGUCACCCAGUAUACCACCUUCCCCCAUCAUACCUAGUUUAAAGCCCUGCUAACCAGCCCUGCCAGCUUAUUUCCAAAAAUAUUUGUGGCCCUUCUAGUCAGUCGGCUCCCAUCCACUGUCAGCCUUCUCCCUUUCUCAAGGCUGCAUCCCAAGCCAUGGUACCCAAAGCCCUGAGCAUGACACCAUUCACAAAGCCAUUCCUUCAACAUGUGCACCCUCCUCCUUUUAUCCAGAUCCCAGUCACCAACUGAGAGGACAGAGGAAAACGCUGCUUGCACGCCAGAUCCCUUCAGAAGUCUUCACAGACCCCUGAAGUCCCUUCUGAUCACCCGAGGACUUCUUUUGCCUAUCUCUUCAUUUCCAAUGUGGAAAGACAGUAGUGGAUAAUAAUCGGAGGGCUUAACCAGGCGAGUGAUGUUCCUAGCAAUGCCCCUCACCCGGGCACCAGGCAGGCAGCACACCUCCCUGCGGGACGGAUCCAAGCAGCAUAUCGGGUCCUCGGUUACCCUCAGAAGGGAGUCCCCUAUGACAACAGCCCUUCUUUUUUUCCUGACUGACACUGUAGCAGAACGGGGAGCAGACUGACCAGCCUUGGGCAACCUCUCCUGCACAGAUGGACUUUCACCAACAUCCACAUCCCCCAGUCCCUCUAGCUCCAGAGCCUCAUACCUGGUAUUGUAAGGGCACCUGGGAAGGUGGGACAGGCUGAGGGGCAGUCCGCUUGUUGCCCCGAGCAGGGACUUGUUUCCAUCCCUCGCUGUCUUUGAGGUCACCCGUUCCCACCUGACUGCGAGACAGCAGAUGAUCCCCCACUGCCUGAAAAGCAUCUCCCCCACACCCUUCCUGUAGGGACGGCCGAGCGCAGCUCCACCGACCAAUCCCCUUCCCACAGUCCCGGAUGCUCCUCAGCCCUUCCACUUCCUCCUUCAGCUCUACCACCAGGCUGGGCAGAUCCUCCACCCGCUCACAGGCGGUAUCCCAGCUGCCCUCCCGUAGCAGCAACAGGGCCGAGCAUUCUGCGCAGCCUGAGACCUGAACUGUGGCACGGACACUCGUGCUUUCAGUCUCUGCAUGCCUUUUAGCAGCAGCUCGCUGCCGUGUGGUGACCGUGGUUGCACCUCGGUGUGCCCGGAGAGCAACGACCUGUUCAGUGCUAAGUGCUAACCGCCCUCCUACAUGGCAAACAUGCUUGCUGAGUCGCUCGGGGUUUGCCCUGAAAAUCACUCUCUUCACAGCGAGACAGCAACCCGCCUCCCUGGGUAGUCGCGCGAAUGGGUACCUUACCGUUUCACCUCGCCCGAACGGCCCCGCGGUUCACA